This 638-nucleotide ribosomal RNA is filed under the name uncultured bacterium. RNAcentral describes it as "bacterial SSU rRNA". It matches the Rfam family "Bacterial small subunit ribosomal RNA", at positions 82 to 736 of the family's 1533-position model. The record is from RNAcentral.
GAUGUAGAGGAAAGUGGCGGACGGGUGAGUAACGCGUGAGGAACCUGCCUUGAAGAGGGGGACAACAGUUGGAAACGACUGCUAAUACCGCAUGACGCAUAGAGGUCGCAUGAUCUUUAUGCCAAAGAUUUAUCGCUUCAAGAUGGCCUCGCGUCUGAUUAGCUAGUUGGCGGGGUAACGGCCCACCAAGGCGACGAUCAGUAGCCGGACUGAGAGGUUGAACGGCCACAUUGGGACUGAGAUACGGCCCAGACUCCUACGGGAGGCAGCAGUGGGGAAUAUUGGGCAAUGGGCGCAAGCCUGACCCAGCAACGCCGCGUGAAGGAAGAAGGCUUUCGGGUUGUAAACUUCUUUUAAGAGGGAAGAGGAGAAGACGGUACCUCUAGAAUAAGCCACGGCUAACUACGUGCCAGCAGCCGCGGUAAUACGUAGGUGGCAAGCGUUGUCCGGAUUUACUGGGUGUAAAGGGCGUGCAGCCGGGUCUGCAAGUCAGAUGUGAAAUCCAUGGGCUCAACCCAUGAACUGCAUUUGAAACUGUAGAUCUUGAGUGUCGGAGGGGCAAUCGGAAUUCCUAGUGUAGCGGUGAAAUGCGUAGAUAUUAGGAGGAACACCAGUGGCGAAGGCGGAUUGCUGGACGA